CCACCAAGCCUGCCUCCUCGUCACUGGUGUCGUAGACCGACAGCCGGUACAGGAACAUCUCGGUACUGGCGGUCCGCCGGGACCGAGUCACCAACACGACUGAUUCACAAGCACACACACGCAAACACCCGGUCGGCUACCUCACGGCCUGGCCCGGCUACAAAGGUCGUGCGCGGAGAGCGCAGAUAAAAGCUGGCAACAGCGGCAAGAUGACUAAUUAUAGAAGCCUCCCGCCGAGAAGCAACUACGCUGACGCCGCGGGAGUUCUCACGCGGACUGGUGGCACUUUGCACCUGCUCGUUAAUUAGUCGACCGAGGUGAGGGUAAUCAACCAGUUCCGACCACCCGCACGAGACUCGCAAGUGCCUGCUACAUUUCCGCGUGAACGAGGAGAGACCACUGGGUUAUCGACACACACCUUCCACCACAGAACUUCAAAACCAGGAGACACCCUGCGCAGUAGGGAAGCUCACCUUGCGCAUGUCGUUCAUGGGCACCUGCUCGACCGGCUCCUCCAUCUGCACCAGGGCGGUGUCCUCGGUGACUGGGGCCCUAUCCUCGCCGCUCAGGUCCUCGGCGCUGUGGUACACCGUCACCUGCGACAGGCUCAUGUAGCUCCUCCGCGGCAGCGAGACCGUGUCCUCGAAGACGUCGUCCUCGUCCUCUUCCAUCGCCAGCGGGCAGUCCGGCGCGGGCCCCUGGUCCCUCACCGCCCUGCGGGACACACCGCGGGCAUCUCCGUCUAGAGUCGCGGCCGCCACGCGAGGGCAUUCGCAACAGUUAGUAUGUAUCUACGAUGCUCGUCAGUGGCGUAGCCAGGAGUUGUGUAUGGGGGGUGUUAAGAAGCAUGCCCCCCCCCCCCCCCUUUUAAAGUGGGGGGUUCGGGGGUGCUCCCCCGGGAAAAUUUGGAUAUUAAGGUAAAAAAUAGUGCUAUUUUAGCAGUUUUCGGUACUUAAAUUUAAAUAUUGUAAUGGUAAAAUUUUAUUAAUUUUAAUAUGAAAUUUGUUUGAGUGAUGAAGAAGAAAUUAAAGAUUUGGUGCUAAGGGAAGGGGGGGGGGGUUGAACCCCUAAAACCCCCCACCCCUGGCUUCGCCCCUGACGCUCGUAUCUCCUAUGAACUGGCAUGCAGUCUUCUCAUCGUGCAUAGCGCAAACUGUGAGAUUCGAGCGGCAAUAAUUAUAUGGCCGAGAAAUUACGAUAAAAUUCUAAUGCAUGGUCCCUUGAGUGCUUCCAGGAAUCUCUACUGGAAGUUUCGUGCCUAAAAAUUAUUCUGAAAACACUCAAUUUUUGCCAUUUUAACUCUUCUAAAAAUACCUACAGUUUAAAAACUCAAUCUGAAAUCAAAAGUACUUUUCGACCCUCAGCAAAUUCUUGAAUGCUUUUCGUAAGCAGACCCCACUCGGAUUUCGUGAGUAGUUUUGAAAUUCUGUUGAAUUUCCUGCAGCUCUGCACCCGUAUGUGUUCCAAGGUAAGCAAGGCCCUUAAAGUGCGGACAUUAUACGCCAAAAUCGAAAUUCCAUAGACCACAUAUUUAGUAAAAUUUUUCACACUAAAUUGACAUUAAAUUAUAAUGUAUUCAAGAUAAUUUAAGCUUUCUUAGAUUAUUAUUUCAUUUUAAGUCCCAGCCAUUGCAGACAAAUGCUUAAAUAUUGACAGAUAUAUGAGGAGAUCCUAGCCUAUUGUUUCAUGGAAAAUAUAUAUUUUUUUAAAGCUCACAAAUUUAUCUCGAUGAAUGUAUUGAGCAAUUCACUAAAUUUUAAUAUAUGCUGAUGUCAACUAGUGUGAAUUUUUUUCCUUCAGAACUUAUGUAAAGAACAUUAGUUUAUAGGGCAUAGAAGAUGGUCAUUAUUCAAGUGGUUUGCUUCUGCCAAGUAGUCAGCCUAAGGUUGCCACUCACACACUUUAAAAGGAAAACACAUUAAGCAAUAAGGAAACCAAUGGAAUUUCAUUGGAGACACCAAAACUACACUUGAGGACCACACCUUAAAUUAUUCUUUUACAUUAAGAAUUGAAACAGUAUUGUAAGGUUCCAAGAAUUAAAACUUCUUUGUUUAUUGUAGUUAUUACUCUUAAAAAUUUCUAACCCAACAUUUCCAUUACCUACUAUUUUUUUUAUUGAAGUUUUACCCAUAUAUGUAAAUAAUUCAGUACAUAAUUUUUUUUUAUUAUAUCUUCAGUUUAAUUUGGCCUCUCUGUUUGUUACUAUACAAGUUAUUAAAAUCUGACGUAGUUUUAGCUAAUAAUUGCAUGGCCACUAAUUUGUGCAAACUUUUGCACAUGUUUUUAACUAAGCUACCAAUAAAAUUUAGAACAAAAUAAAAAUUGCUUUAGUACCUAAUUAGCUGCAUUGCAAAUUAAGGUGGUUCUAUUAUCCAUACUCACAAACAUCAGAUCACAAAUGUGUAUCCUAAUAAUUAAUGAAAAUUAUGUAACUCACUAAUUAUUCACACAAUCCAAAAAUCAUGAAAACUAAUGCAACUAAACAUUGGAAACUGGGAGGUUCAUUCCCGAUGACAUCUGCCACAGCACUGGCUCUAUAGCCACAAACCCGAUACAUUCCACAGCCACUUUGACUCUUGAUUAACUAAUGCUGAUGGCCAAUAACUACCAAUGAAGACAAAUCAUGGAGCGCGCGGAGUGAGGCUCUGCUUGACGUGCCGUAUCGACACUUAAAACCAUUAUUAAAUUUCACAUACAGAGUGCAUUACUUCUUGAAUUGUCACUACCUGUUAACCUUAAAAAAAAACUUUCAAGUGUCAAAUAGCAUAUACACUUAGUUUUUAUAAAAAUUACAGCAAUUUCUACCAUUCAUUGUCAUUCAUACACAAUGGAAUAACCCUACCUAAAGUUUUAUGGACUUUUGGAUUGAGAAACCUACAUAAACAUUACAAUUCCAAAAAUAAUAUUUACACUUUUACAUAGACCGUAACAAAUAACACAAAACUCAAAAUGUAAGUACAUUUAAUUUUUAGUUUUGUUAAAAACCUAUGCUCUUGAUAACUUUUUUCUUUUUAGAUUGAACAUUUUAGUAACUGAAGCUCUUUCAGCAUGGACAAGUUCAAUCACCUUGCUGUUGAUGAUGUAAAGCUAAUGUGCCAUCCACGCAUAAUUUAUGUUGUCCCAUAAGUACUGUACCGAUGUUCUUUUCUUCUAAACUUGCCUUCAAUUACACGACUCAGUUAUCCAUUCCUAGCUCGUAAACCAUCCCAUCCACUUGGCUUUCCUUCGUAGAAUAAUCUGCAGGCUGUUUCCCCUGGUCCCUGAACCUCCGCAGGAAAAGCCCUCUCACUGGUCACUCCGCCCAUCCACUCGAUCAACUCUAUUCCUGGAGCCCACGCCAUAUUUCACAACUCUGCUAUUUCUGCUUCCUUCUGCUGACGGUCCACGAGUCUGUUCCAUGUAGUGAUACUCUCUCGACGUCACACUUUGCCAGUUUAUAGUCAUUCAUCCAGCACAGCACUUUUAGUCGGAACCAACAAAGUAAUUAAUUUUUGAUCGGAAACCAUUUGGUCACCCCUUGCAGUAAGGGUUGGUAAAAUUAUUAUUAUUUUUUGUUGUUCUGUCACAAAUAUUUCCAACAGAUAUUAACUUAGUGUAUGGUCUUGGGUGUAAAAAGAUAUAUGCAAGUCUUUGUAAUUAUCACCACUUGCACGACUGUUUACACCCAUGAUACCUAUUACACUAAUUUAAUAUAUGUGGCAGAAUGACAAAUGCAAGAGAGGUAGAGAAUUAAAAUGUUAAGUAGCCCUUAAAAAAUAAAUGAUGAGAAAAAAAUCAACAUCGCAUAUGUGACAGCCUUAAUUUUUUUGUCCAUCAAACCUUGCUUUUUAUCACCUUUUGAGCUGAUGAUUGGUGCAAUCCCAAAAAAAAUGGUAAAACUACUAUGAGGUAUAACUUUGAAUGGAUGCAAAAUUUUUCGUAGACAAAACUACAAUGUUAUCAAAUGAAUAGAAUAUUUUUUUUUAUCAACCUUUAAAUGGUGAGAAUGAAUUCCAAGAAUAAUCAUGCUGGUCAAUAUGUAACUAAUAUGGUGUUUUUAUUAGAAACAAGACCCCCUACCUUCACAUUUUCCCCCGAUUUCAUUUCAUUUUGUUUUGAGAUGGAAAUGUACACGCACCUGAGCAUUAUGUCAGUAAAAACAGAGCUCUCAGUAACAGCAUUUUAAAAUCAUAACUGACCAAUUCAAAUUUGACACGAUUGUGUUAUCUUGAUUGAUUUCAAUUUACUUAGCAAUCACACAGUGGAUUUCGAGGUCUCGGCAGGUCACACGUAAACUUCAGGCCGCAAAUUAAGGACCCCACCUAACUUGGCACACACAUGGUGUGCAGAGCUUCAGAAAAAACUCACACGAAUAGGGAAAACUACACAAGAUCUCCCUGUGGUGUCUGUUAACGAAAAGCAUUUUAAGAACAUACUGAGGGUGAAUUAGUAGUUUUGUUUCUUUAUUUCGUUUUUGAACUGUGUUUCAAGAAUAACUUUUUUGGCAUGAAACAUCCAUUAUAGAUUCUUGAAAGUAAUCAAGGAACUAGCAUUGCAGCUUUAUCUUCAUUUAUACAAGACUGCACGCCAGUUAAGAGGCGACACUGUGUCAGCGUCACACUUAUCAUCCCGCCUAACACAAAUCCUGUCCUGUCUCCUGUCUAGGCAGACCCCUUAAAAUAUUAAUCUGAAGAGUGUGGCUAGACAGCAAUCUACCGCAUGUAAAUAAUUCAGGAGAAGUUACUCUAAAACUGAACAUAUUUUGAUAUCAGGAGAUUAUGAUGUAAAUAUUUAUUGAGGGAAAAGAAAGACUUGAGAAUCUUCGAGCACUGGACGACCUUCAUGAUAAAGCUUCUCAAGUGCCUAAUUUAAGUUCUUCAGAAUCUUAAGUUGUUUCCAAAUAGUACACUGAUAUAUUCAGUUGUUCUGCUCUCUGUCAGUUAAAUCUGUCAAUCAUUCAACGUCAAUCUCUGUUCAAUCCCUCUACGUGUUCCUCUAACUUCUCCAACAACACUGGGUGCAUUCUGCUUGCACAUUACAUCCAGUAACUCUGUACUUCAGCAGAAAGGAUGGAGAAUAAUGUAAUAUGUCUUUGUGCUUCAUCUCAUAUUACCUAAACGAUGAUGUUCUCUUAGUAUAUGAGGUUCAAAGAAGAUUGAGCUCACUAAUUCAUGAAGAAUUCUUUAACAUUAAUCAAGUGGAGUAUAUCACAGACGGUAGUGCAGCACAAUACAAGAAUUUUAAAAGAUUGGUCAACCUCUGCUAUCACAUGGAAAUUUUUGAUUUAAAAGCUUUUUGGACCUUUCAUGCAACAAGUCAGGUAAAACAGCAUGUAAUUAGUGUUGGAGGAUGUGUUAAAAGGGCAGUAUUUAGAGUGAGGGUGAGUAGGUAAAAUCUACCAAUUUUAUUUCACCAUUUUGAAGCAAUUUUUUUGCUCUUUCUAAUGGUACCAAGCCCGAGAUUGUAAAGAUUAAUAGAAAAAAGUUAUAAUAGGAUUACUAAACUGAUGAUUACAAUUCAUUUUUUUCUACUUCUAACAUAAAUUGAAUGUACUUCUGGUCAUUUAAUUACAUUUUACGAGUGAUAUUUGAAAACUACGUUAAAUUCUGAAUAAGUAUGAUGAACUUCAUGAUACUAUGUUUAUAACUGUUAUUACAAAUGCAAGUUGAAGCAAGAUAUGUUACUCGACUUUGAUUGCGGAUUAAAAAAAUUCCACCAAAAGAGCUUUGAAUUCAAAACUAGAGUCAAUAUUCCUAAAAUGAAAAAAAAAAAAAAAAAAAAAAGAGGGGGGGGAGGUUCUUAUGUUUGUCUGAAAUCUGAGAUGGUGGUGUGGACACCCCUGGAUGAUAUGGCAUGGAAUGACCCUUGAUACAUGAUGCUUGCUGUUUUAAUUUAAUACAUCGAAAUAUCCUUGAUAUAACAAAAAUUCUGAUGUAACAAUGAAUUAUGAUUGUAUUAUCAGGUCCAAUAAAAAUCUGAAAAUGAAUUUUUUUUUUACCUCUUAACAUUGUUUGUAGUGUAGGCCUAAUAUUUUUGUUAUGUCCAGGAUCUUUCGACAUAGGUACCGUACUAAAUUAAUACAGUAAGCAUCAUGUACCACAGGAUCAAUAGGAUCAUGCCAUCAGGAUCAAGGAAUAAACUUGGAUACGUGAUAUGGAACAAUUACCCUUAUUUACACCACUCUGCUUCCUGGACAGAGGAAGCAGGGAGGGCACACUCAUCUACUAGCAGAAUUUCAUCUGUGCUUUCGCAAGAUAACUAAAAAUUAUUAACAGCACCCUAGUUUAAUUUUUGCCAAAAUUUUACUAGCACGCAAAUAUUGGAAAUACUGAAAUAUGAUUUGGUACUUGUCUUGCAUUCAAUUUGUAACACACUUGUUCUCACAUAAAUUUAACAACACAGUAAGAGUUAUAUGACUCAUAGCCCAAGCACACGUUAACACAAUGGGACCAGCAUAGAACUGGCAUCAAAACAAGACAAUCAGCAAUUCGGUAGCUCUGUAAAGAUGAAAAUGCAUUUUGCAGCACACCCUGCCUUUAAAGUAUCAAGUCUGAGCAGUUAACACAGUCCCAUUCUGGGACUUAAAAGGUAGCACUUUUUCAGAAAACAUGCAGAAAGUUGUGGACUUAAACCCAAUUCCGAAUCAAACUCAGCUCUAUGUAACAGACUAUUGCCAGAAUUGCGUCUCCAACAUUACGUUUUAGGUUAUCCAAUUUCAAUUUAUGAAAAGCAGAAAUGUCAGACUUACGGGAUUUUUAUAUUAAUCCAAAUCAUAUCCUAGACAUCACUGCAGUUACACCAGUCAAAAUUUUAAUUCACGUGGAAUUAAACGCUAAAGAUUCAGAAGUAGAAGUUUUUAACCUUUAAGAUCAAUCAAAUCACCUAUCAAUGACAGCACCGAUAAAUAAAUAAAAGACUUGAAUAGUUGCAAAAACUUACUUUUUGUCACAAUCAUAGUGUUACAUCAAAAAACUGCAAGUCUCGAUAUUUAUCAUUCGCUAUAAUUACCGCUUACAUCACAAACCAAAAACAACAUCAAACACCAACUACUCACCCCACUCCCUUCGCUUCCUCCAUGCCAGCCGGAAGGACACUGGCAAAAUGUGAGCGCUCAUGACCAUCUUAAUGACCAUGAUAUCUAUGCCAGACAUAAAUACCAAGUACUAGCUGUUUGAAAUACAAUACAAUUACAAUUUACGCCCAAAAAACCAAAUUACUGAAUAUUUUAUUAAGAAUUCAAUGGAGUGUCAUAAGCACAAAACUUUUAAAGACUACAAAAUUACAUAAUUUUCUCUUUGAAAUAUAAUAAAAGUGUCAAGAAAAAAGCAAAAUGUGAUGAUACUAAUCAGCAUAAUAUUUCAAAAUGGAAUCAUAAUUUUUCUGAAUAAAUAAAUAACCUUCAAUAGUGUCCAGUUGUAACAAACAUGGCGCCGUUUUUCUCACUAUAUCACCAAAUAUGAUACAUCUUAAUCUCUGCAAGUGUAAACCAAUAGUAUUUUAGAAUUUUUUUUAUUCUGCCGCCAAUGGCAGCUUACGAGAACUUUGGUGCUCAAGUGUUUGAAUUUCAAGCACUUCGGCAUUUUGAUUUCCAGGCAUGACUUGAAAUUAACAGUAAAUACUAUAAAGGCAUACUGAAUUUUAUUACAGUGAGUUUAUUUCCAAUUUAUUAAAGUAUUACGUACAUGUUUUCAAUGCUACAUAACUUAUGUAGUAGGUACCUACCAAGUAACAAUAAAAAAUGAUUAUUUUCAAACUCUGUCUUAUUUCAAAUAUUUUUCAGCAUGCUCCAGCACACCUAAGCAUGUAUAUUGUCAGUUUAAUUAGAACACCUUGAAACUGUCACUUUUUGUCAUUAUUAUUUUUUUGCUUAAGUACAUCACACACUUUUCUUGUACAUGCGGUAGCCAUUUUAGUAAACCUCUCAGCUACAAAGAUCUAAAAAGAAUUGGCAAAUAUUGUAUUUUAAUUUAGUUUUCUAAUGUGAAAUAUUCAUUUUUUUUUUUCACAGCAAGCAGUCCUAAUUUUGUGUUUAUCGUGCCAAAGUAAUAACUACAUACUUAAUAAAGAUUAAUCCUAAGAAGUUAAAGAGAAAUGCAUUUUGUAACAACCUUUAGUAAGGUGAGGGGUUAAAAGUUUAGGCAUUAGUCUUUCAGUAAAUUUUGCCUCCUGCAAAUUAAGAGUUUUUCUUAUCAGGCAAAACAAUAUGCCAUUAGGUUUGGUAGUGGUGGACUGCUAAAUGGCAAGUGAAAAGUUGCAUUUAUUUGUAAAGCUGAAGAGUCAGGACCACGUGUGCUCAAAACAGGCCAAAAUGUCCAAGUCAAUCUGAACAAUUCCUGGUGGCUCUGGUGAGAAGAAGUGGCAGAUACAGAAAUUUACUUUGGGAGGGAAUUUGAAAAAAAAAAAAUGAGAAUUUUGUAUUCAAAUAUCUUGAGUCAACAAGGAAUUAGGUAAGUUACAUUAUCAUUCUCAACCAGUGGCGUAGCCAGGAUUUGUGUAUGGGGGGUGUUAAGAAGCAUGCCCCCCCCCCCCCCCCGUAUUAAAGCGGGUGGUCCGGGGGUCCUCCUCCGGGAAAAUUUGGAUUUUAAGGUGUAAAAUAGUGCUAUUUUAGCAGUUUUCGGUUCUUAAAUUUAAAUAUUGUAAUGGUGAAAAUUUUAUUAAUUUUAAUAUUAAUUUUUUUUGAGUGAUGAAUAAGAAAUUAAUUAAAGAUUUGGUGCUAAGGGGGAGGGGUUGAACCCCUAAACCCCCCCCCCUGGCUACGCCCCUGUUCUCAACAUGCAUAACUCUGCCUUUGUGGUCCGUGAGUCCAGGUGUUGUAACAGCUCACCUUACAUCUCCCAAAAUAAAAUACUGCCUUCACCAAGA
This is a long non-coding RNA of Bacillus rossius redtenbacheri, 8841 nucleotides long. RefSeq lists it as uncharacterized. Lineage: Eukaryota; Metazoa; Arthropoda; Insecta; Phasmatodea; Bacillidae. The transcript is spliced from 2 exons. The record is from RefSeq and is a predicted model, not a curated record.